GACGAACGCUGGCGGCGUGCUUAGCACAUGCAAGUCGAACGAAGAGCGAUGGAAGCUUGCUUCUAUCAAUCUUAGUGGCGAACGGGUGAGUAACGCGUAAUCAACCUGCCCUUCAGAGGGGGACAACAGUUGGAAACGACUGCUAAUACCGCAUACGAUCUAAUCUCGGCAUCGAGGAUAGAUGAAAGGUGGCCUCUACAUGUAAGCUAUCACUGAAGGAGGGGAUUGCGUCUGAUUAGCUAGUUGGAGGGGUAACGGCCCACCAAGGCGAUGAUCAGUAGCCGGUCUGAGAGGAUGAACGGCCACAUUGGGACUGAGACACGGCCCAGACUCCUACGGGAGGCAGCAGUGGGGAAUCUUCCGCAAUGGACGAAAGUCUGACGGAGCAACGCCGCGUGAGUGAUGACGGCCUUCGGGUUGUAAAGCUCUGUUAAUCGGGACGAAAGGCCUUCUUGCGAAUAGUGAGAAGGAUUGACGGUACCGGAAUAGAAAGCCACGGCUAACUACGUG
RNAcentral lists this ribosomal RNA (510 nucleotides) under uncultured bacterium. RNAcentral describes it as "partial 16S ribosomal RNA". It matches the Rfam family "Bacterial small subunit ribosomal RNA", at positions 28 to 507 of the family's 1533-position model. The record is from RNAcentral.